AUAACUACGCGGUCUUUCGAGUAGUCCUCCUGUGGGCUCCAUGCCAAAAUCUUUCCCACCUUUUCAGCAUCCAAGUAACCAACUUUUAGAAGAAAACGGUUUCCAACAGCAGAAGUACGUGAAAUAUCAUAAACAAUGCUUGAAUGAUCGAAAGAAACUUGGAAUCGGUUGCAGUGAGAAAAUUGGAGGCUCCUGGAGUCGUUGAUGAUCAUUGAUUUGGCUGUGGUUACUGUUCUAAGGUCGUAUAAUGAGACUGGUGAUGAUGUUAUUGUUAAAUAAGCAUUGGAUGCAGCUGAUGAGUUUCAACAGGGACGAAUUCUAUUGGGCGGAAGGGAUGAGCUCGGCGGUGGUACAUGGUUGGGCUCCACCAGGGAUGGAAGGGUGGCUUUCCUCACCAAUUUCAGGGAAGUUGAAAGGCUUUCCAAAAUCCUUUUUGUAUAUACAAAAAAGGUGUUUAUUGCAAUUGUUUCCUUGGUUGCAAACUAAUAGUGCUAUAUGAUCAAUGAAUAAACAAAUGAUUUGAUUAUACAUACAGUGAUAACUACGCAGAAUCCACUUUCUAGAGACAGCUUUCUGAUGAAUGGUUAUGCUCUAAAUACUGGCCGUGCAGCUCAAGGAAUGCCUCUAAACAGCUGGAUUUGUAAUCACCAUUUGAAAUUGUAUCCAGAAGAGGAAUCUGGUCCUCAGUCAACAAAGAAACCUGUUGUUGUUGAAUCUUACGAUGAGAUUGUAUUUUCUGAACCGUCUGAGGCUUUUCUGGCGCAUGUGCAGAAUCAUCCUGUUGUUGUUGUGCCUAGGCUUCCUGCUGGUUUGACUUUGCCUAGCCCAUUACCAAUUGAAACUGGGAAUGGAAAGGAGAGAGGUAUACUUUAUUUUGGAUAAUGCUACUACUUAGCAAGCAUUCAGCUACUAUGUGGAGUCAGGAGAUGUCAAAAUUAACUUUCAAUAUGGAGUUUGAUGCUGCCAAUGCAACUUAGUUAUCUAUUAAUAUUUUAGAUUAUUCUAUCUUUAAGUGCUAAGUGUAAUUUGUGACAUUCAUGUAACAUUGGGAUGGUCAUCUUAUUUAUUUUUGGUAUUUUUUUAUUAAGACAAUGAGAUAUUGGCCAAUGAUGUUGAAAAAUAACAUCCAAUUUUAUAGGUAUCAUGUAAUGAAUAUUAUGUUUAUUUAUGUGAUUUUUGGCUUUCUUUUUUCAA
This is a non-coding RNA of Arachis ipaensis, 1194 nucleotides long. The record is from RefSeq and is a predicted model, not a curated record. NCBI's taxonomy places the organism in Eukaryota, Viridiplantae, Streptophyta, Magnoliopsida, Fabales, Fabaceae.